Paramuricea clavata is the source of this 244-nucleotide non-coding RNA. The record is from the annotation of a GenBank genome assembly. NCBI's taxonomy places the organism in Eukaryota, Metazoa, Cnidaria, Anthozoa, Malacalcyonacea, Plexauridae.
UAAUAAUCAAGUCAUUAUUUAUGUUCACUAAGACAUCAUGUAAUUGCAGUAUAUCACAGUAAAAACAAAUUCAGCUGUUUGCGAACACACACACAUAAAGUCAACGAAGAGUCAAUGAAUAUUUGAGAAGACAGUGACACUGCAGACUUCUCAAAUUGCUAUAUACACACGUAAAAACGCACCGUAUGCAAGCAAGUUGUUAUACCUGUUCACAAACUGUCGACAAGUUGUGUUCGCACUGCUU